UUGAACGCUGGCGGCAUGCUUUACACAUGCAAGUCGAACGGUAACAGGCCGCAAGGUGCUGACGAGUGGCGAACGGGUGAGUAAUGCAUCGGAACGUGCCCAGUCGUGGGGGAUAACUACUCGAAAGAGUAGCUAAUACCGCAUACGAUCUAUGGAUGAAAGCGGGGGACCGUAAGGCCUCGCGCGAUUGGAGCGGCCGAUGUCAGAUUAGGUAGUUGGUGGGGUAAAGGCUCACCAAGCCAACGAUCUGUAGCUGGUCUGAGAGGACGACCAGCCACACUGGGACUGAGACACGCCCAGACUCCUACGGGAGGCAGCAGUGGGGAAUUUUGGACAAUGGGCGCAAGCCUGAUCCAGCAAUGCCGCGUGCAGGAAGAAGGCCUUCGGGUUGUAAACUGCUUUUGUACGGAACGAAACGGCUCUGGUUAAUACCCGGGGCUAAUGACGGUACCGUAAGAAUAAGCACCGGCUAACUACGUG
This 480-nucleotide ribosomal RNA is filed under the name uncultured bacterium. RNAcentral describes it as "partial 16S ribosomal RNA". It matches the Rfam family "Bacterial small subunit ribosomal RNA", at positions 30 to 507 of the family's 1533-position model. The record is from RNAcentral.